GAUGAACGCUGGCGGCGUGCCUAAUACAUGCAAGUCGAGCGAACGGACGAGAAGCUUGCUUCUCUGAUGUUAGCGGCGGACGGGUGAGUAACACGUGGAUAACCUACCUAUAAGACUGGGAUAACUUCGGGAAACCGGAGCUAAUACCGGAUGAUAUUUUGAACCGCAUGGUUCAAAAGUGAAAGACGGUCUUGCUGUCACUUAUAGAUGGAUCCGCGCUGCAUUAGCUAGUUGGUAAGGUAACGGCUUACCAAGGCAACGAUGCAUAGCCGACCUGAGAGGGUGAUCUGCCACACUGGAACUGAGACACGGUCCAGACUCCUACGGGAGGCAGCAGUAGGGAAUCUUCCACAAUGGGCGAAAGCCUGACGGAGCAACGCCGCGUGAGUGAUGAAGGUCUUCGGAUCGUAAAACUCUGUUAUUAGGGAAGAACAUAUGUGUAAGUAACUGUGCACAUCUUGACGGUACCUAAUCAGAAAGCCACGGAUAACUACGUG
Molecule: ribosomal RNA, 497 nt
Filed under: uncultured bacterium
Lineage: Bacteria
Description: partial 16S ribosomal RNA
Rfam family: Bacterial small subunit ribosomal RNA
Source: RNAcentral